RNAcentral lists this ribosomal RNA (497 nucleotides) under uncultured bacterium. Its description in RNAcentral is "partial 16S ribosomal RNA". It matches the Rfam family "Bacterial small subunit ribosomal RNA", at positions 28 to 507 of the family's 1533-position model. The record is from RNAcentral.
GAUGAACGCUGGCGGCGUGCCUAAUACAUGCAAGUCGAGCGAACGGACGAGAAGCUUGCUUCUCUGAUGUUAGCGGCGGACGGGUGAGUAACACGUGGAUAACCUACCUAUAAGACUGGGAUAACUUCGGGAAUCCGGAGCUAAUACCGGAUGAUAUUUUGAACCGCAUGGUUCAAAAGUGAAAGACGGUCUUGCUGUCACUUAUAGAUGGAUCCGCGCUGCAUUAGCUAGUUGGUAAGGUAACGGCUUACCAAGGCAACGAUGCAUAGCCGACCUGAGAGGGUGAUCGGCCACACUGGAACUGAGACACGGUCCAGACUCCUACGGGAGGCAGCAGUAGGGAAUCUUCCGCAAUGGGCGAAAGCCUGACGGAGCAACGCCGCGUGAGUGAUGAAGGUCUUCGGAUCGUAAAACUCUGUUAUUAGGGAAGAACAUAUGUGUAAGUAACUGUGCACAUCUUGACGGUACCUAAUCAGAAAGCCACGGCUAACUACGUG